GACGAACGCUGGCGGCGUGCUUAACACAUGCAAGUCGAACGGUAAGGCUCCAGCUUGCUGGGGUACACGAGUGGCGAACGGGUGAGUAACACGUGGGUGACCUGCCCUGCACUUCGGGAUAAGCCUGGGAAACUGGGUCUAAUACCGGAUAGGACCAUGGUGUGGAUACUGAGGUGGAAAGUUUUUUCGGUGUGGGAUGGGCCCGCGGCCUAUCAGCUUGUUGGUGGGGUAAUGGCCUACCAAGGCGGCGACGGGUAGCCGGCCUGAGAGGGUGGACGGCCACAUUGGGACUGGAACGCGGCCCAGACUCCUACGGGAGGCAGCAGUGGGGAAUAGUGCACAAUGGGCGGAAGCCUGAUGCAGCGACGCCGCGUGGGGGAUGACAGCCUUCGGGUUGUAAUCUCCUUUCACCAUCGACGAAGGGUUUCUGACGGUAGAUGGAGAAGAAGCACCGGCUAACUACGUG
Molecule: ribosomal RNA, 466 nt
Filed under: uncultured bacterium
Lineage: Bacteria
Description: partial 16S ribosomal RNA
Rfam family: Bacterial small subunit ribosomal RNA
Source: RNAcentral